UUUUGAUUUGGGAGUUUGAGUUGCUCAAUACGAGCAGUUUCGAAAAGGGAAUAAUGAGGAUCGGCCUAGAUGGAGCCGAAAUAAAGACUAGAAUAAAGGGAAGGAAAAAAAUAUUUCCUUCUUUGAAGAGUCUUCGGCUCAUGAAGAACCGAAUUCAUCUGAAGAGGCAGAAGAUUCGGCUGAUGGAGCCGAAAUCUGUGCUGCCGAGAUGGUGAGAAACAGUCAACCGUACAAAUGUGCUUUGUUAAAG
RNAcentral lists this long non-coding RNA (250 nucleotides) under Ananas comosus (pineapple). RNAcentral describes it as "long non-coding RNA (ACOM_LNC019775)". Lineage: Eukaryota; Viridiplantae; Streptophyta; Magnoliopsida; Poales; Bromeliaceae. The record is from RNAcentral.